ACGGAGUCACUGUGCUGAAAUGACUAGGGCAAAAAUUAUUUUCUCUGCCUUGGAGUACCGAGUCUCAGCUUCGUGGAGCACCUUGCUGACAUAAUAUAUUGGUUGAUGAACCCGGUUCUCAUUCUCCCAGACGAGUACAGAGCUAACCGCCUCCGGGGAAGUGGCCAAGUAGAGGUACAGGACCUCCCCGACCUCCGGUCUCACAAGGAGUGGCGG
Molecule: long non-coding RNA, 216 nt
Filed under: Elaeis guineensis (African oil palm)
Lineage: Eukaryota; Viridiplantae; Streptophyta; Magnoliopsida; Arecales; Arecaceae
Description: long non-coding RNA (EGUI_LNC071978)
Source: RNAcentral